Daphnia magna is the source of this 711-nucleotide long non-coding RNA. RefSeq lists it as uncharacterized. NCBI's taxonomy places the organism in Eukaryota, Metazoa, Arthropoda, Branchiopoda, Diplostraca, Daphniidae. The transcript has 6 exons. The record is from RefSeq and is a predicted model, not a curated record.
CUUACUACGACGUCGUCGUCAACAUGUUUCGGUUGGUCGUCAUGCCUUUUUCAUGUUAAGCACCACUCUGAAUGCUUUUAUUUCUGAUUUCCAUUUGUAGUUGUGCAGCACAAGUGACCCAUACUAGUUGCUGCUUGCUGCUUCGAGUCAUCAACAUGCAAAGUACCAGAUAGUCGAUUCCUUUUUCUAAUUAUAUACUGUUGUGAUACCAACUGCUUCAGAUCGAUUCUGAUUCUCACCGAUUCCAGCUUAUCAUUCAUUCAUGUUGGUAAAGAACCAGACUUUGGAUUCCGAUAUUGAGGGAUAAGAUUGGUAUUGUCCCUCACCUGCUUGAGGAAUAGUCGAACACCAAAUGUUGCUCUGAGCCAUUACAUUGGUAAAGGACCAGACUUUUGAUUCCUUCAAUAAGAGAUAAGAUUGCUAUUGUCCCAACAUUCAGGAACAACAGUUGUUGCUAUGAGCCACCAUAAUGCGAGUUACCACACUAUUGUAUUUCCAUUUUAUAAUGGUCAUUGUGACGGUUUCACAGCUUGCAGUUUCAUGAAGAGUUACUGUCUACGAUAACAUUAAAUCAAAAGAAUUUGAAAGGUGUUACGGAGUUCUAUUUUUGCAGUUUCAUGACCUUUCUUUUCUUCGGUUUGUUGUAUACAAUUGGUUUUUUUUCAAGUCGUACACGAAAUCGUUUUUCCUCUGUUCGCAAAAUAGCAAAAA